CAGUAGCCACGGUAAUACGAAGGGUGCAAGCGUUAAUCGGAAUUACUGGGCGUAAAGCGUGCGUAGGCGGUUUGUUAAGUCUGCUGUGAAAUCCCCGGGCUCAACCUGGGAAUGGCAGUGGAUACUGGCAAGCUAGAGUGUGUCAGAGGAUGGUGGAAUUCCCGGUGUAGCGGUGAAAUGCGUAGAGAUCGGGAGGAACAUCUGUGGCGAAGGCGGCCAUCUGGGACAACACUGACGCUGAGGCACGAAAGCGUGGGGAGCAAACAGGAUUAGAUACCCCAGUAGUCCCUGUCUCUUAUAC
RNAcentral lists this ribosomal RNA (301 nucleotides) under uncultured bacterium. RNAcentral's name for it is "partial 16S ribosomal RNA". It matches the Rfam family "Bacterial small subunit ribosomal RNA", at positions 509 to 807 of the family's 1533-position model. The record is from RNAcentral.